Non-coding RNA from Clostridium sp. CAG:349, 267 nucleotides. NCBI's taxonomy places the organism in Bacteria, Bacillati, Bacillota, Clostridia, Eubacteriales, Clostridiaceae. The record is from Rfam.
CUGCGCUAGGCGGGGGACUAGGGGUACCCUGUAAUCCGAAACCCUCUAUAUGCGGGGCUGAAUGCCGUAUGCGGCCUUUUGUAUGGUUGGUCGGCAAAAAUAAGGGACGUUGAUAUCAAGGUCUUGUGCAAUGUCGUCCCGUGAACCAUGUCAGAGCUUGACCGCAGCAGCAUUAAGCGGUUAACGGCGUGUGCCACGAGGUUACCUUGAAGGAGUUACCUGUUUUUGUAUCACUUCGGUGCAAAUUGUCAGGUUACGGUUGCGCAG